RNAcentral lists this long non-coding RNA (1247 nucleotides) under Zea mays. RNAcentral's name for it is "long non-coding RNA (ZMAY_LNC005079)". Lineage: Eukaryota; Viridiplantae; Streptophyta; Magnoliopsida; Poales; Poaceae. The record is from RNAcentral.
UUCUCACACAUGAUAAAGGCAGAUGUUUGAAAGCACAACACAUUAAAAAAACAUCAACCCCACGAGCAAGAGAAUUAGCAGUGGGCGUCUUCAAAAGAUUGGCAUCCGUUCAACUAAUCACUCUGUCGCUUGUUCACACUUUUGUGCCAUGCUCGCCUCUUUCACCUUGUGCAUUGUCUCACUUAAUUCUCGACUGCAGGGAAGAAGAAAUAAAUUGUCAUAAGGUGCUACAUAGAAAUUUUUAAUCUCUUGUUACAAAUAACUAUGGUAGAACUUAAAUUACGCACAUAUAUAGUCAUGAUUCUUCUUCAUGUGAUAGAAAGUAUGCAAAAUAAUGAGCUAGCCAAAAGAAAGAAAUAUCUUUUUAUCAGAAACAGGUAUAAAACCAAGUUGGGUUGUUCAUCUUUACUACUCUAUUAAGAGUACAACGAAGGCGUCCACACCCCUUGCCCCCGCUUACUGCCGCCCGCCUGCCCCUGCUCACGCGUCCGCCAGCUCGCCCGCAGGGCGAGGCAAUGCCUCCGCCCCGAUGCCCCCCGCCCUCGUCUUCACCAUCAGCCACGCAAUACCCACCCCUAGCCUUCGCCCCAACAGAUGACGCGCGACUGCUGCGCCCCGCCCGCUUGUGGUUACCUCCCCCCUCCCCCGCUCGCGACACAUGCCCCUUGCCCCGCGUGCGUCGUCUCCCGUCACACCACCCCCUCGGUCGCCUCGACGUCGGCGCGAGGCUCCAGGCCAUCGGGGACGGGCCCGGGACGGGGCAGCCCGAGCAGGCCAUGGUCUACGACGGUGCCUACGAUCCCUGGACCCUAGAGGACACCAACGUGUGUGAGGUCCUACCCUGCCCCCGCCCGUGUGCGUCGUCUCCCCUUGUGAACUUGUGAUCUAUUUUGUUUAGAUACUCUAUGAUUUGAAUUUUCCCUCUUUUUUUGUUAUUUGUCUUCCUUAACUAUAAUGAUUGUGAUGAAACUUUAUUGUUGUGGAAUUUCUCAUCUAUGUUACAAGAUAGCUAUUCACCACUUUGAGGUCUGAAAUAAAACAUAACAACACUCUUAGGCUCACUUUGAGGUCUGAAAUAAAACAUAAUAGCACUCUUACAUGAUUACCACAUAGCUAUUCACCACUUUGAGGUCUACAGGUCUCAGGCUCACUUUGAGAGGCUAGCAGAUUUGCUUACUUCAGAUAUUUUGAAGCCUUGUACCAAGCCACCAAGGAGCAGGGUUGCAUCGGUCUUACUGCCAAUGAUG